Lucilia cuprina (Australian sheep blowfly) is the source of this 425-nucleotide long non-coding RNA. RefSeq lists it as uncharacterized. The transcript has 3 exons. Lineage: Eukaryota; Metazoa; Arthropoda; Insecta; Diptera; Calliphoridae. The record is from RefSeq and is a predicted model, not a curated record.
UUAAAUGUUUCUAAUGCCAAAAUAAAAUAUUUGUUCUAAAUCAAAUUAUUUUAUUUGACAAAUUAAAUUUUCUUCAAAAACUUUUUAAAAGAAAACUUGCACAUGUAUAGCAUGCGCAUUUUCUGCAUUGGAUUAAACGAUACUCUAUGGAUUUCUGAUCAUCAUUGAUUUGGAAUCAAGACUGAGCUUUGAAAUAAAAGGUACAACAUAGUGAAAGUCCUGCAAUACCGUAAGAGUACGAAAAAUACAUCCAUCUCAAUAUUUAUCCGCAAGAUUCCGUCUACGCAUGAAGAAAACAUUCAUUCCGGUAUUUAAGAUUCCGUUUAGGCAUGAGGUUCGACUUCAAAUAAGGGAUCGUGUAAUAUAUUUAAGUAUAAAUAAAAUAAUAUUUCGCAAAAAAUGUAAUAAAAGAUUAUAAAAUAAAU